AUACGGAGGAUGCAAGCGUUAUCCGGAUUUAUUGGGUUUAAAGGGUGCGUAGGCGGAUGAUUAAGCGUGAGGUGAAAUGCCACUGCUCAACAGUGGAACUGCCUCGCGAACUGGUUGUCUUGAAUGCUCCUGCCGUGGGAGGAAUGUGUGGUGUAGCGGUGAAAUGCAUAGAGAUCACACAGAACACCGAUUGCGAAGGCAUCUCACGAAGGGGUGAUUGACGCUGAGGCACGAAAGCGUGGGGAUCAAACAGGAUUAGAUACCCUGGUAGUCCACGCAGUAAACGAUGAUAACUAACCGCUGGGUCGUAGUGAUUCAGUGGCCAAGCGAAAGCGAUAAGCCAUCCACCUGGGGAGUACGACCGCAAGGUUGAAACUCAAAUGAAUUGACGGGG
This 394-nucleotide ribosomal RNA is filed under the name uncultured bacterium. RNAcentral's name for it is "partial 16S ribosomal RNA". It matches the Rfam family "Bacterial small subunit ribosomal RNA", at positions 523 to 918 of the family's 1533-position model. The record is from RNAcentral.